Molecule: long non-coding RNA, 581 nt
Organism: Gasterosteus aculeatus aculeatus (three-spined stickleback)
Lineage: Eukaryota; Metazoa; Chordata; Actinopteri; Perciformes; Gasterosteidae
Source: Ensembl
CCCCUUGCUGGUCACUACAUCCACUACAGAGGAGGCUUUGACUUCUCUUGAAGAACAUGAGGUCCUCACACAGCUGUGAGGAAAGACCACAAUGAAGCAGCAGGUGAUACAACUCGCUGCUUUCAAAUAAAAAGGUGGAGGCAGUUUGGUCACAGGGUGGAGGGAGAAAGGUGGAGGCAGUUUGGUCACAGGAUGGAGGGAGAAAGGUGGAGGAAGGUGGAGCAGGCCUGGACAAGCGCGGGCCAAGGUCAACCUGUGGCCACAGAACGCAUGCAGGACCCCCCAGGGGUCUGUAAGGAGGGCUGAUGCCUCUCUGGCAUCAGGUGACCCCCCCACCCCACCCGAUACACCCCGUCACUACGUGUAACAAGGAAACACACGUCUUUCUGAAGGGACAUUUUCUGCCCCGUCAUUGUGUGGGGGGGCAGCGACAGGCGCAUUCAGACGGGACGACGCGCGCAGCCAGCGUGUAAGAUGAGAGUCUGUUUGGUAACUGACGCUGGUGUUUAGAGACCAUUGUUCUGUGAGUCACUCACCUGUAUGUUACCUGGGCAGCACAGCAAUAUAUAUAUAAAUAUAUA